RNAcentral lists this ribosomal RNA (252 nucleotides) under uncultured bacterium. RNAcentral describes it as "partial 16S ribosomal RNA". It matches the Rfam family "Bacterial small subunit ribosomal RNA", at positions 525 to 776 of the family's 1533-position model. The record is from RNAcentral.
ACGAAGGGAGCUAGCGUUGUUCGGAAUUACUGGGCGUAAAGGGCGCGUAGGCGGCCGUAUAAGUUAGAUGUGAAAGACCUGGGCUUAACCUGGGAGGUGCAUUUAAGACUGUAUGGCUAGAGGAUAAGAGAGGGAAGUGGAAUGACGAGUGUAGAGGUGAAAUUCGUAGAUAUUCGUUGGAACACCAGUGGCGAAGGCGACUUCCUGGCUUAUAACUGACGCUAAUGCGCGAAAGCGUGGGGAGCAAACAGG